Molecule: unclassified non-coding RNA, 394 nt
Filed under: Hevea brasiliensis (rubber tree)
Lineage: Eukaryota; Viridiplantae; Streptophyta; Magnoliopsida; Malpighiales; Euphorbiaceae
Source: RNAcentral
CGCGUCAAGGCGGCAAUCGCGUGACCGGUAAUGUCCGCUUAUGCGUUGCGAUAACGCCAACUUAUUUGCCAUUUUAGCGGGAGUGUCGGACAAAGGGAGUGUCCAUCCUGAGAUCUCCGGCUUGCCGAUGACCACCCCGCCCCGCAUCCUCCCGUCCGGAGACACUGCCCUGGCGGUCGAAUUCGGCCGCAGCAUCGAUCCGGCGGUCAACCGGCAGGUCCUGGCGCUCGAUCGCGAACUCGCGAGCGCAGCCAUUGCGGGAGUCCUGGAAACCGUUCCGACCUAUCGCUCGCUGCUGGUUCACUACGAUCCCUUGCUGAUCGACUUCGCGACAUUGUCGCAAAAGCUGCUGGCGCUCGCGGAGCGGCCUGUUCCAGCACAAACCAACAUCCGG